Non-coding RNA from Drosophila melanogaster (fruit fly), 437 nucleotides. The record is from Ensembl. NCBI's taxonomy places the organism in Eukaryota, Metazoa, Arthropoda, Insecta, Diptera, Drosophilidae.
AGUCAUUCGGCGCUUAUCUGGGCCGCAAACAACACGAAUUCGUUGGCCUAAUCAUAAUGAAAGUCUUGUUUUGACAGCAGCAGCAGAAGCAGCGGGCGUAUAGCCACUAUCACCGGAUUUCCAAAAAUAGUUCUUCAACUUUUACCGCAAUCUGCAAUGCAAACGAUGACGUCCGCGUUGGUUGGAAAAUUUCCAGCUCAUCGCUGAAAAAGGGAUUCCUCCACAGAUCGUGGGCUUAUCAUGCAUGCUAAUUAAUCCUAUGACGAACUCGGGAAAAAAAAAACAAUAAAACCUAAUAGAAAACGCGAGGAGCUUGAUAAUCAUUGUACUUGUGCACCUGUCGCCGUCAUCCAGUUAUCAUUUAAUAAUCAAGAUGAGUGCCAGAAAAACAGAGAGAGCUGCUUAAAUGAUUAUCACAAGUUUGCGGGUACAUACUU